RNAcentral lists this long non-coding RNA (1127 nucleotides) under Parus major (Great Tit). RNAcentral's name for it is "lncRNA (ENSPMJG00000011089.1)". The record is from RNAcentral. Lineage: Eukaryota; Metazoa; Chordata; Aves; Passeriformes; Paridae.
CGGCGUGGGGUCGGGUCGGGUCGGGUGCUGCGGGGCGGCGGAGACUGGGGGGGCGUAGGAAGGAGGGGAUAAAAACCCCACUGUGUCCACACUGUGACCGGAGUCUCCUGCCUUCCCUGCUCACCCGGCGCCGGUGCCGAGCUCCGGGCCUCAGCUCCGUUCCCGGGAGCAGCGGGCCAGCGCUGCCUGCGUCCGCGGGGGAGCGCAGCGGAGCCGCUGCCGUCCCGCAACUUCCCCCGGAGCCGAGCGGAGCGCAGCAUGCGGGGCAGGGGCUGGAGGCGGCGGCGGGGCCGGCAUCGUGCUCCCCGGACAUGAGGCGGCCAUCGGAAGCUCCAGAAAACAAAAAUACCAGGCAAGACCUGCUAUUUUGAGCACAAGCAACAGCAAUUGGCAAAUAACUUCUGGUCUGGAGCUGAAGAGCCACAGGAUUACAUCUGUCUGUACACAGGUGUUCCCAAACAUCAUCAAAGCAUCCUUACAAUGACAACCCAGGAUAAAGUACACCAAACCAAUCUCUGUAUCCUCUCUUUAAAAGCACCUGACAUUUUCCUACAGUUCUGAGGACAUCUGAGAAAUGGAGCAAUUUUUCUGUGUAUCCUUUGUCUUAUUUUCUCUCUUCCAGAUAAACUUUCAGUAAAUUAUACACUCAUUCCAUGAAGAUGCAGACUGACUGGGAUUUCAGAAUGGGCUAAGUUACAAGUGUGUAAACCUAGAGUGACAGCUGCACAGUCAGUAAUGUUCCUUUAGAUUCAGGCUGGUUCAGCUGAGAUCAGAUUCCAGCCAAACUGACAUUUAUGUGUACAGAAAAUGUAGGUCUCCUUCCAAAGACCUGCCACUGCACAUAUGAGGGAUGUGUGAGCAUGAGGCAGAAUUCCUGCAGGAUUCCUCUGCAUCACAGAUUGUCUGGCAUUCAAACAGUUAAUUUUUUACUUCUUUCUGUGGCUACACUGUGAUUCCAUAAGUAGAGAACAUAUGGUUUACAAAAUACUGACUCCUCUGAGCCACAUCCCUGUGAUUUAAGCUAAGGUCAAAUUUUACAGAUUAAAUAUUACCCUUCUACAAAGUGUCUGCCUUAUGUGUCUUGAGAUCUGGAAUUUAAAAAUAAAUCAGCUUAUCUUAGUCCCUCA